Molecule: long non-coding RNA, 825 nt
Organism: Oreochromis aureus
Lineage: Eukaryota; Metazoa; Chordata; Actinopteri; Cichliformes; Cichlidae
Exons: 2
Source: RefSeq, a predicted model, not a curated record
UCCUGACCCGGAGUGGUAUAACAUGUUGUAGAAAAAUUUGAUCGAUUCUCUCUCUCUCUCUCUCUCCCUUAAAAAUAAUAAUUUCUCAGGGGUUUUUUUCUUAUAUGCUUAUGGUACCCGACGGAGGAAGUUGAAGCAUCCCGAGCUCUCGGAGAACAUGAUCUCCACUGACUCAUCAGAAAUCUGCUGUGUUACCCCCCUGAACUUUCCAUGCCCCUGGAAUGACCCUCCUCUGAUCAGAAUUAUCCCUCAACCAUCCUCCCUCCACCGAGCCCUCCCUCUCUGGACAAAACAAUUUUUUUUUUCCUGCCUGAUGCGAUUAGUCACACAUCUGGAAUCGAUUAGACACUUCCGGAGUACUUCCGGUAAGGUCAAAAGGUCAAGGCUAGAGUCAUCAAUCAAACUCGCAUUCUUGAGUGACACAAGCCAUAGUGUUAUUUUUUUGAUAUUCAUAGAUUUUAUCAGGCUCAUCUAACUUAUAUUUAUCGUGAUAUUUAUUAAGCCUCUGAAUUACUUUUUAGAGUGUAUGGAACUUGGCCUUCAAUUUGGAGAUGGUACUAGGGCUCACUCAAAAUAUUGCUGUAGCUUAGUUAUGCGGAAAACUUUGAGGUUGCCCUAAAGCACUAAAGCUCUAUCCAGAUCAGUCAAAUGUGGGAUGCUUGGAGCAGACACCAGCAGACUGUUCCAGCUAUAAAAAUGCUUUCCCACACUAUAAGAUUUUUUACCAAGAAGAACUGUUACAACAAAGGGAUAAUCAACCAAACACAAAUUUCCUUACUUUUUUAAUUUUGGUUUUAAGUUUACAGUAAAAUGUACAACAACAAA